Long non-coding RNA from Labeo rohita (rohu), 1464 nucleotides. RefSeq lists it as uncharacterized. Lineage: Eukaryota; Metazoa; Chordata; Actinopteri; Cypriniformes; Cyprinidae. The transcript is spliced from 3 exons. The record is from RefSeq and is a predicted model, not a curated record.
GUUCCUGUCUGUACAAAGGGGUCGCGCGAGAGGUGAUGAGGGGGUCUUUUGUUUCCAAGCGGACAGGUGACAGCUUUGUGGGAGGAAGUUCUGAUGCUCAUUUUCCCCUCUGUGAGUGUUCAUAAAAGUGCGAGCUGUGGUGAGCCGAGAUAAUACGCAUCAGACUCACAAGAGAAGAUGAGGUGUGCUUCUGUAACCCUUCUGCUGUGCCUGGCUACAGUGAUGCUUGCUCAAGUCUCCUGCCAAAUAAGUGGCCGGUCAAAUUGCCUUUGUCUCAAGACAUCAAAUCGGGUUCCCCGCAAGGAAAAUAUUGAAAGUUACAUGAUACAAACAGCAGGUGUCUGCCAUAUUGAUGCCAUUUUAUUCAAAACAGUCAAAGGUCGUUUUGUUUGCGCCGAUCCAAAAAACUCUUUGGCAAUAGAUGCCAGGCAAUAUGUGGACAACAAGAAAGUGGCACCUAAAAAAACAACGCGUCCAAUAAAAACUGCAUCAACAUCAACGCCGAACAACACAUCAGACUGGAAUACAACGAUAUAAACUAUGACUACUUUACCUGAACUUUGCUAAUUUGUUAACAUAUGUCUGUAAUUUUUGUGUUGAAUUGUAUUUUUACUUACAUCUAGUUAAUUAAAAAUUACUCCAUAAAAUAUAUUGCAAUGCAAGACUUUUGUUGUAUCAUUAGGAUAGUAUUAUGAUUUUUAUUCUGAUUUUAUAUUAGUUUAUUUUUUCUGUUUUCAUUUUAAUUGUAAUGUUUUUAAUUUAAUUAAAAUAUUACAGUCUAGUUUUCAUUAAUGUUUAUUUCAGUUUUGAUUUUGUUAUUUUAGCAUAUCAAGAUCAACUAAAUGUGACCCUGGACCACAUAACCAGUCAUAAGUAGCACGGGUAUAAUUGUAGCAAUAGCCAACAAUACAUUGUACUGGUCAAAAUUCUUGAUUUUUCCUUUAUGCCAAAAAUUAUUAGGAUGUUAAGUAAAGAUCAUGUUCCAUGAAGAUAUUUUGUACAUUUCCGACUGUAAAUAUAUUAAAACGUAAUUUGUAAUAUGCAUUGCCACGAACUUUGUGUGGACAACUUUAAAGGAGAUUUUUUUCAAUAUUUAGAUUUUUGUUGGCACUCUCAGAUUCCAGAUUUUCAAAUAGUUGUAUCUAGACCAAAUAUUAUCCUAUCAUAACAAACCAUACAUCAAUGAGCUUAAUUAUUUAGCGUUCAGAUGACGUGUAAAUCUCAGUUUUAAAAAAAAUUGACCCUUAUGAAUGGUUUUGUGGUCAAAUGAGAAGUGUUGCACUGGCUGACAAACAAAAAUUGUUUUAUGGUUUUAGUUUUAGUUCAUUAUAAUAAUCCUAAAGCUCAGUUGAGUGUUUUGUUAAGUGGUUAACUGCCACUAAAAAUGUAAGCAGCGACUUUGUUUCACUAGUGUUUUUACUGACAAUGACCUGGUAAAUCAAAUAAGUGAAUUAAUAAAUAAAC